Molecule: unclassified non-coding RNA, 247 nt
Filed under: plant metagenome
Description: partial contains small subunit ribosomal RNA and internal transcribed spacer 1
Rfam family: Eukaryotic small subunit ribosomal RNA (bases 1-46)
Source: RNAcentral
AAGUCGUAACAAGGUUUCCGUAGGUGAACCUGCGGAAGGAUCAUUAAUGAGUUAGGGUCUCCGGGCCCGAACCUCCAACCCUCUGUCGUUAUACAAAACCCUUGUUGCUUCGGCGGGACUCGGUGGCAGGCCCUCACGGGCCGCGCCGCCGCGCCGGGUUCUCAGGACCCCGGGAUCGCUCCCGCCGGAGUCAAACCAAACUCCUGUUUUAACAGUAUCGUCUGAGUAAAUUGAUAAUCAAUCAAAA